This 465-nucleotide ribosomal RNA is filed under the name uncultured bacterium. RNAcentral's name for it is "partial 16S ribosomal RNA". It matches the Rfam family "Bacterial small subunit ribosomal RNA", at positions 29 to 507 of the family's 1533-position model. The record is from RNAcentral.
AUGAACGCUGGCGGCGUGCUUAACACAUGCAAGUCGCACGCUGAAGCCCAGCUUGCUGGGUGGAUUAGUGGCGAACGGGUGAGUAACACGUGAGUAACCUGCCCUUAACUCUGGGAUAAGCCUGGGAAACUGGGUCUAAUACCGGAUAGGAGCGUCCACCGCAUGGUGGGUGUUGGAAAGAUUUAUCGGUUUUGGAUGGACUCGCGGCCUAUCAGCUUGUUGGUGAGGUAAUGGCUCACCAAGGCGACGACGGGUAGCCGGCCUGAGAGGGUGACCGGCCACACUGGGACUGAGACACGGCCCAGACUCCUACGGGAGGCAGCAGUGGGGAAUAUUGCACAAUGGGCGCAAGCCUGAUGCAGCGACGCCGCGUGAGGGAUGACGGCCUUCGGGUUGUAAACCUCUUUCAGUAGGGAAGAAGCGAAAGUGACGGUACCUGCAGAAGAAGCACCGGCUAACUACGUG